RNAcentral lists this ribosomal RNA (1386 nucleotides) under uncultured bacterium. RNAcentral's name for it is "bacterial SSU rRNA". It matches the Rfam family "Bacterial small subunit ribosomal RNA". The record is from RNAcentral.
GAGUUUGAUCCUGGCUCAGAACGAACGCUGGCGGCGUGGAUAAGACAUGCAAGUCGAACGCUCAUUUUGGGGUAGCAAUACUCCAAAGUGGGAGUGGCGCAAGGGUGCGUAACACGUGGGUAAUCUGCCAUAAAGUUUGGGAUAACUCGCUGAAAGGCGAGCUAAUACCGGAUGUGAGAAUUGAAAGGCAUCUUUUGAUUCUUAAAGCUGGGGACCGUAAGGCCUGGCGCUUUUUGAUGAACCCGCGGCCUAUCAGCUAGUUGGUGAGGUAACGGCUCACCAAGGCUAAGACGGGUAGCUGGUCUGAGAGGACGACCAGCCACACUGGCACUGCGACACGGGCCAGACUCCUACGGGAGGCAGCAGUAAGGAAUAUUGCGCAAUGGGCGAAAGCCUGACGCAGCGACGCCGCGUGGGGGAUGAAGGUCUUCGGAUUGUAAACCCCUUUUAGGAGGGAAAAUGGGACGAGCAAUCGUCCGGAUGGUACCUCCAGAAAAAGCCACGGCUAACUUCGUGCCAGCAGCCGCGGUAAUACGAAGGUGGCAAGCGUUGUUCGGAUUUACUGGGCGUACAGGGAGCGUAGGCGGUUUGGUAAGCCCUCCGUGAAAUCUUCGGGCUCAACCCGGAAAGUUCAGAGGGGACUGCCAGGCUAGAGGACGGGAGAGGAGCGCGGAAUUCCCGGUGUAGCGGUGAAAUGCGUAGAGAUCGGGAGGAAGGCCGGUGGCGAAGGCGGCGCUCUGGAACGUUUCUGACGCUGAGGCUCGAAAGCGUGGGGAGCGAUCCGGAUUAGAUACCCGGGUAGUCCACGCCGUAAACGAUGCGGACUAGGUGUCGGGGGUAUCGACCCCCUCGGCGCCGCAGCUAACGCAUUAAGUCCGCCGCCUGGGGACUACGGCCGCAAGGCUAAAACUCAAAGGAAUUGACGGGGGCCCGCACAAGCAGCGGAGCGUGUGGUUUAAUUCGAUGCAACGCGCAGAACCUUACCUCGGCUUGACAUGCACGUGGUACCAAAGCGAAAGCUGAGGGACUCGCAAGAGAGCGUGCACAGAUGCUGCAUGGCUGUCGUCAGCUCGUGCCGUGAGGUGUUGGGUUAAGUCCCGCAACGAGCGCAACCCUUGUCCUUAGUUGCCAUCUCUAAGGAGACCGCCGGUCUAAACCGGAGGAAGGUGGGGAUGACGUCAAGUCCUCAUGGCCCUUACGGGCUGGGCUACACACGUGCUACAAUGGUGGCGACAGAGGGCGCAAGCGAGAGCGCAAGCUUUAGCAAAUCCUCAAAAGCCAUCUCAGUUCAGAUUGCGCUCUGCAACUCGGGCGCAUGAAGGUGGAAUCGCUAGUAAUCGCAGAACAGCAGGCUGCGGUGAAUACGUUCCCGGGCCUUGCACACAC